This 557-nucleotide ribosomal RNA is filed under the name uncultured bacterium. Its description in RNAcentral is "bacterial SSU rRNA". It matches the Rfam family "Bacterial small subunit ribosomal RNA", at positions 339 to 916 of the family's 1533-position model. The record is from RNAcentral.
CUACGGGAGGCAGCAGUGGGGAAUCUUGCACAAUGGAGGAAACUCUGAUGCAGCGAUGCCGCGUGAGUGAAGAAGGCCCUUGGGUUGUAAAGCUCUUUCGUCGGGGAAGAAAAUGACUGUACCCGAAUAAGAAGGUCCGGCUAACUUCGUGCCAGCAGCCGCGGUAAUACGAAGGGACCUAGCGUAGUUCGGAAUUACUGGGCUUAAAGAGUUCGUAGGUGGUUGAAAAAGUUAGUGGUGAAAUCCCAGAGCUUAACUCUGGAACUGCCAUUAAAACUUUUCAGCUAGAGUAUGAUAGAGGAAAGCAGAAUUUCUAGUGUAGAGGUGAAAUUCGUAGAUAUUAGAAAGAAUACCAAUUGCGAAGGCAGCUUUCUGGAUCAUUACUGACACUGAGGAACGAAAGCAUGGGUAGCGAAGAGGAUUAGAUACCCUCGUAGUCCAUGCCGUAAACGAUGUGUGUUAGACGUUGGAAAUUUAUUUUCAGUGUCGCAGCGAAAGCGAUAAACACGCCGCCUGGGGAGUACGACCGCAAGGUUAAAACUCAAAGGAAUUGACGG